Vespula vulgaris is the source of this 464-nucleotide long non-coding RNA. RefSeq lists it as uncharacterized. The transcript is spliced from 2 exons. NCBI's taxonomy places the organism in Eukaryota, Metazoa, Arthropoda, Insecta, Hymenoptera, Vespidae. The record is from RefSeq and is a predicted model, not a curated record.
GUCAAGCUUCGCUGUAUAAUCGUGAAACAUUUAUCGACUUUAAUCACCUCACGAAUUGUAACGAAAGAACAAAAAGGAAAAAAAAGAAAGUAAAAACAAAGACCAAAUUUUCUACUUUUUGAACUGUUAUAAUUAAUCGGGUAUUACAUUGCACUGCUCCAUUGAGCUAUGAGAAUUUUCUAUUUGCAUUAUAAUAUGCAUAACAUGAAAUAUAUAAAAGAGAGAAAGAGAGAGGACAUUAAAUUUGUGAUUCACUUAUAAAAUCAGAGCAGCUUGACAUGUAUAAUAAUUAAAAUUCGAGAUAUAUGAAUUAAUAGAAAAUGAUUAAUAAGAUAAAAAAAAAACUCUAUGUAAUAAAAUACAGCUAUUACAGCUGUUUGGCCCAUGGCAUAUCUUAAAAAUUAAAAUAUAUAAUUAAAUUUUUUUAAGUCAUUACAAAUUUAAUAAAUACUAUGAAUAAUUAA